Molecule: long non-coding RNA, 231 nt
Filed under: Homo sapiens (human)
Lineage: Eukaryota; Metazoa; Chordata; Mammalia; Primates; Hominidae
Description: non-protein coding lnc-ANKRD36B-3:23
Source: RNAcentral
GGAAAUUCCACUGGGUCUGCAGCUCACACAUAGGCAUGACCAGCAUAGAGAUAGAGAGGCCCCAGUGCUGCUGAGUAACUGUGAUUCCCCAGGUGAUGGCAUCAGCUGAGAAGGGAAGGAAGCCCAUGAGAGGACACUGAAGAAGGAGUGAGCAGACAAUAAGAAGCCCACAGAAGACAGAGAAGGAACAACUAGAGGGAGAAGCCAAGGCAGGCGUGUGUGUUUCUCCAC